GGCCCAAGUGAAUAGUCCUCGCGCGAGCGGGACACGGUAGUGGAUGCAAUUCCGCUCGCCUUCAACCGCCAGGAGCUCCCCCGCGCCGCAGGCACCGUCCUCCUCCGAAACAGCUGCGCCUGCACCUGGGCAGUCUGGACCCUCGUGCCGUGCCCCCCAGGCCUCGCGCGGGGGGCGCCCCCGGACACCCUCUGCGGGCCGGGUGGAGGAGGAAGAGGAAGAGGAGGAAGAAGACGUGAACCUGGACUCCUACCCUACCCAGGACACCUGGCCGCGCUGCUCACACUUCUCGUUACUGGGAGGAGAAAAGAGCCCAAAGAGCCAUGGGGGGCGGCGAAGUCCGGGAAUUUCUUUUGCAAUUUGGUUUCUUCUUACCUCUGCUGGUAGCUUGGUCUGGCGAAUGCAGUCACCUCUCCAACAACCAAGUUGUGUUGCUUGAUACAACAACUGUGCUGGGAGAGCUAGGAUGGAAAACAUAUCCAUUAAAUGGGUGGGAUGCCAUUACUGAAAUGGAUGAGCACAAUAGGCCCAUUCACACAUACCAGGUGUGUAAUGUGAUGGAACCUAACCAAAACAACUGGCUUCGUACAAACUGGAUAUCCCGUGAUGCAGCUCAGAAAAUUUAUGUGGAAAUGAAGUUCACACUGAGAGAUUGUAACAGCAUUCCAUGGGUCUUGGGAACUUGCAAAGAAACAUUUAACCUGUAUUAUAUGGAAUCAGAUGAGUCCCAUGGAAUUAAAUUUAAGACAAGCCAGUAUACAAAGAUAGACACAAUUGCUGCUGAUGAGAGUUUUACCCAAAUGGAUUUGGGUGAUCGCAUCCUCAAACUCAACACUGAAAUUCGUGAAGUGGGACCUAUAGAAAGGAAAGGAUUUUACCUGGCUUUUCAAGACAUUGGGGCAUGUAUUGCUCUGGUCUCAGUCCGUGUUUUCUACAAAAAGUGCCCUUUCACUGUUCGUAACUUGGCCAUGUUUCCGGAUACUAUUCCAAGGGUUGAUUCUUCCUCUUUGGUUGAAGUAAAGGGCUCUUGUGUGAAGAGUGCUGAAGAACGUGACACUCCUAAACUAUAUUGUGGAGCUGACGGAGAUUGGCUGGUUCCUCUGGGAAGGUGUAUCUGCAGUAUAGGAUAUGAAGAAAUUGAGGGUUCUUGCCAUGGUAAGAAAUAUUUAACUUUUCAUACAUUUAAAUAA
RNA transcript from Chrysochloris asiatica (Cape golden mole), 1190 nucleotides. It is a transcript of the gene named ephrin type-A receptor 6-like, with no coding region annotated. NCBI's taxonomy places the organism in Eukaryota, Metazoa, Chordata, Mammalia, Afrosoricida, Chrysochloridae. The record is from RefSeq and is a predicted model, not a curated record. The transcript has 3 exons.